GACGAACGCUGGCGGCGUGCUUAACACAUGCAAGUCGAGCGGUAAGGCCCUUUCGGGGGUACGACGAGCGGCGAACGGGUGAGUAACACGUGGGUGGCCUGCCCUCAGCUCUGGGAUAAGCCUGGGAAACCGGGUCUAAUACCGGAUAUGACUCCAUGACGCAUGUUGUGGGGUGGAAAGCCUUGUGCGGCUGAGGAUGGGCCCGCGGCCUAUCAGCUUGUUGGUGGGGUGAUGGCCUACCAAGGCGACGACGGGUAGCCGGCCUGAGAGGGCGACCGGCCACACUGGGACUGAGACACGGCCCAGACUCCUACGGGAGGCAGCAGUGGGGAAUCUUGCGCAAUGGGCGAAAGCCUGACGCAGCGACGCCGCGUGAGGGAUGACGGCCUGG
RNAcentral lists this ribosomal RNA (391 nucleotides) under uncultured bacterium. Its description in RNAcentral is "bacterial SSU rRNA". It matches the Rfam family "Bacterial small subunit ribosomal RNA", at positions 28 to 419 of the family's 1533-position model. The record is from RNAcentral.